GCCGGGCGACGGUUGUCCCGGUUUAAGCGUGUAGGGGGUGUGACCUGGUAAAUCCGGUUGCAUAUCAACCCUGAGGCGUGAUGACGAUGCACUACGGUGCAGAAGUAGUUGAUGCCCUGCUUCCAGGAAAAUCCUCUAAGCUCCAGGUAACAUUGAAUCGUACCCCAAACCGACACAGGUGGUCAGGUAGAGAAUACCAAGGCGCUUGAGAGAACUCGGGUGAAGGAACUAGGCAAAAUGGUGCCGUAACUUCGGGAGAAGGCACGCUGGCAUGUAGGUGAAGUCCCUUGCGGAUGGAGCUGAAGCCAGUCGAAGAUACCAGCUGGCUGCAACUGUUUAAUAAAAACACAGCACUGUGCAAACACGAAAGUGGACGUAUACGGUGUGACGCCUGCCCGGUGCUGGAAGGUUAAUUGAUGGGGUCAGCCGCAAGGCGAAGCUCUUGAUCGAAGCCCCAGUAAACGGCGGCCGUAACUAUAACGGUCCUAAGGUAGCGAAAUUCCUUGUCGGGUAAGUUCCGACCUGCACGAAUGGCGUAAUGAUGGCCAGGCUGUCUCCACCCGAGACUCAGUGAAAUUGAACUCGCUGUGAAGAUGCAGUGUACCCGCGGCAAGACGGAAAGACCCCGUGAACCUUUACUAUAGCUUGACACUGAACAUUGAGCCUUGAUGUGUAGGAUAGGUGGGAGGCUUUGAAGCGUGGACGCCAGUCUGCGUGGAGCCAUCCUUGAAAUACCACCCUU
RNAcentral lists this ribosomal RNA (742 nucleotides) under Serratia marcescens. RNAcentral describes it as "partial 23S ribosomal RNA". It matches the Rfam family "Bacterial large subunit ribosomal RNA", at positions 1490 to 2207 of the family's 2925-position model. The record is from RNAcentral. Lineage: Bacteria; Pseudomonadati; Pseudomonadota; Gammaproteobacteria; Enterobacterales; Yersiniaceae.